Galeopterus variegatus (Sunda flying lemur) is the source of this 622-nucleotide long non-coding RNA. RefSeq lists it as uncharacterized. Lineage: Eukaryota; Metazoa; Chordata; Mammalia; Dermoptera; Cynocephalidae. The record is from RefSeq and is a predicted model, not a curated record. The transcript has 3 exons.
CCAAAGAAACUAAUGGGCCAAUUCCUCUUCAUCCUUUAGGUCUUAGUAUAAAUGUCACUUCUUCCAGGAAGCCUUCCCUAAUCCCUCGGCACCAGGUUAAGGAUCCCAGUUGUUUUCCCAUUGCUCUCUGUUCCUGUCUAUCAACACACUUAUUCCACUCUGUUGUAAUUCCUCUUGAUUAAUAGUUCAUCCUAGAUCAGCUGUCAGCUAUGUGAACAUAGGGGGCAGGUCCGUCUUGGUCACCAUUGAAUUCCCAAAGCCUACUGCAGUGCCUGACACCAAGGCUUUGCAUAAACACCUGCUGAAUGAAUGUCUUCAGGAUUACUGUGAAGAUGAAUUGAAAGCAGCUGUUACGUGCCUGGCACAAAUUGUUUUCUAGCCAUCCUGGAGCUGCAGACUUGCAGACUUGCAAAUACUAUCCAGAUCCUGGGAAACCAAGGAAGACAUCAAUAAAGCUAUGCUGAUUCCACCCCUCCAGCAGGACCCUAAGAUAACAGCAAGGAUGGGAGGAGAAACCAGUUGGAGCUUUGGCAAGACCUUGCACCUGGAACCUUGAAUGGGGUCCCUGCAGCUCAUGUCCCCCUCCCUCCUGAUUUUCAUUUCCCAUGUUCCAUUCCCUCAG